This 84-nucleotide transfer RNA is filed under the name Lachnospiraceae bacterium. RNAcentral's name for it is "tRNA-Leu". It matches the Rfam family "tRNA". From Rfam's summary of the family: Transfer RNA (tRNA) molecules are approximately 80 nucleotides in length. Their secondary structure includes four short double-helical elements and three loops (D, anti-codon, and T loops). Lineage: Bacteria; Bacillati; Bacillota; Clostridia; Lachnospirales; Lachnospiraceae. The record is from RNAcentral.
GCAGGAGUGGCGGAAUUGGCAGACGCGCAGGCUUCAGGUGCCUGUUAUGGCAACAUAGUGAGGGUUCAAGUCCCUUCUCCUGCA